Molecule: ribosomal RNA, 564 nt
Filed under: uncultured Glomeromycotina
Lineage: Eukaryota; Fungi; Glomeromycota
Description: SSU rRNA
Rfam family: Eukaryotic small subunit ribosomal RNA
Source: RNAcentral
UUGGAGGGCAAGUCUGGUGCCAGCAGCCGCGGUAAUUCCAGCUCCAAUAGCGUAUAUUAAAGUUGUUGCAGUUAAAAAGCUCGUAGUUGAAUUUCGGGAUCAGAUUGUCGGUCGUGCCUCGGUACGCACUGGUACUAUUGGUUCCUACCUUCUGAAGAACCGCGAUGUCAUUAAUUUGGUGUCGUGGGGAAUCAGGACUGUUACUUUGAAAAAAUUAGAGUGUUUAAAGCAGGCUUACGCUUGAAUACAUUAGCAUGGAAUAAUGAAAUAGGACGUUUGUUUCUAUUUUGUUGGUUUCUAGGAUUGACGUAAUGAUUAAUAGGGAUAGUUGGGGGCAUUAGUAUUCAAUUGUCAGAGGUGAAAUUCUUGGAUUUAUUGAAGACUAACUACUGCGAAAGCAUUUGCCAAGGAUGUUUUCAUUAAUCAAGAACGAAAGUUAGGGGAUCGAAGACGAUCAGAUACCGUCGUAGUCUUAACCAUAAACUAUGCCGACUAGGGAUCGGAUGAUGUUAAUUUUUUAAUGACUCAUUCGGCGCCUUACGGGAAACCAAAGUGUUUGGGUUC